RNAcentral lists this long non-coding RNA (1139 nucleotides) under Coturnix japonica (Japanese quail). RNAcentral describes it as "lncRNA (ENSCJPG00005014795.1)". The record is from RNAcentral. Lineage: Eukaryota; Metazoa; Chordata; Aves; Galliformes; Phasianidae.
UGUUGAUCCACGGUGUCAGAGGUAGAUGCUGGUGUGAUGGCAGUAGAGGUAGAACAUUCCCACCAAUACCCCAUUGCACUUUGCUCUUGUGUGACGGGUGGAAACAGAGGGGCAAUGGCAUCUGGCAUAGAAGUGUGUACAAGGCAAAGGAUUUUCACUGGGUUCCUUCAUGAAGAAAUAAUGGCACCCAUUGACAUUCACUGAUUAUUGCUGACUGCUGAUGGAGACCAAACAGUGGAUGUAAGCAGAGUGAGGCAGUGGGUGGUGGUUUUUGAAGUGGUCACAGGAAGAGACGGUAUUUCAAAUUUUUUCAGAUUCAGAUUUUUAUGAGCAUGGCAUGUAGGCUUUUGUUCAUAGCUGAUGAAAACGCAUAGCUAGUGGUGGUGACUGUGAUGAAAUAUAUAUAUAUACUUUCUGUAGAUGAGAAUUUGCUCUAUCAAAUUAUGUUAUUGUGUUCUUUGUAUCUGUAGUGCUUUACCCGGAAAUAAAUGAAAGGCAUUGUGUGUGCCCCGGUCGCGCAGUGGUAGGAAUGCCGUGUUGCAACACCGGAGGGCCCUGGUUUGAAUCCCCCCUGCGGCGCAAGUGUUAGAAGUGCCGCUCUGCUACACAGGGGCUCGAAUCCCAGGGGUUGGACUUGAUGAUCUCUAGGUCCCUUCCAACCCACACGAGACUGUGAUACUGUGAUACUUUUGGAGCAACAUAUAUAUUUUGAUUCUAAUAAAGCACACUGUAUUUCUACAUGCCAUCUUGAAUGACAGAACUUGGAAAUACAGACUGAAGUCUCCCUAGUAAAUGGAUUCUGAAAUGAUUGAAAUAAAAAAAAAACGGCACUGUACUGGAUACUACUGUCUCUCAGCAAAUUUGGGGCUAGAGGAAGGAAGGAAUAUGUACGAGUGUCCAGUUAGGCCAGAGUGUGUCUCGCCUUACAGGAAUAUCUGCAACAUCCACUUUGAAUUUAAUAAACUGCACCAUGGAUAACAGAAUGAGCCAAUGCUGAUACUUAUUCAAUAGGCUCACUUGAGGAACUUCAGCAGAGACUUUUCUUUCAGUAAAUGCAUCUGUAAUUUAAUUUUCAUGGAGGAUUUAAUAUAUUUCUUGAAACUGUCAUCAUACAUCAAAUAAAAUGUAGUCCGAUAGCA